RNAcentral lists this ribosomal RNA (497 nucleotides) under uncultured bacterium. Its description in RNAcentral is "partial 16S ribosomal RNA". It matches the Rfam family "Bacterial small subunit ribosomal RNA", at positions 28 to 507 of the family's 1533-position model. The record is from RNAcentral.
GAUGAACGCUGGCGGCGUGCCUAAUACAUGCAGGUCGAGCGAACAGACGCGGAGCUUGCUCCUCUGACGUUAGCGGCGGGCGGGUGAGUAACACGUGGAUCACCUACCUAUAAGACUGGGAUAACUUCGAGAAACCGGAGCUAAUACCGGAUAAUAUCUUGAACCGCAUGGUUCAAUAGUGAAUGACGGUUUUUCUGUCACUUAUCGAUGGAUCUGAGCCGCAUUAGCUAGUCGGUAAGGUAACGGCUUACCAAGGCAACGAUGCGUAGCCGACCGGAGAGAGGGAUAGGCCACAUUGGAACGGAGACACGGUCCAGACUCCUAAGAGAGGCAGCAGUAGGGAAUCGGCGGCAACGGUCGAAAGUCUGACGGAGCAGGGCCGCGUGAGUGAUGAAGGCCUUCGGAGCGGAAAGCCCGGUUAUGAGUGAAGAACAAAUGUGGAAGGAACUAAGCACGGCUUGACGGUACCGGAUCAGAAAGCACCGGCUAACUACGUG